CUGCGAAGCCAGCUCCUUUGAAAUGCAUUAGCUGGGAACUAGUACAUCGUUUCAAGUGCUUUGAUGCUUGAAGACCUCCUGGUGAGAUAAUUGUCUACGCCGUUGGUUUAGUCAUUGCACAUAUUUGGACUUUGGAUUGUGCCUGCUUCUAACUGUCUCAUUGCGAGACUAGUCCGCUACAGGGCUACUAUUGACUAGUGUGACCUCAAAUCAGAUGGGACUACCCGCUGAACUUAAGCAUAUCAAUAAGCGGAGGAAAAGAAACUAACAAGGAUUCCCCUAGUAACUGCGAGUGAAGCGGGAAAAGCUCAAAUUUGAAAUCUGGCUGUCAUAUGGCAGUCCGAGUUGUAAUUUCGAGAAGUGUUGCCCGUGCCGGACCGUGCAUAAGUCCUCUGGAAAGGGGUAUCAUAGAGGGUGACAAUCCCGUCUUUGGUACGGAUUCCCGGUGCAUUGUGGUAUGCUCUCAACGAGUCGAGUUGUUUGGGAAUGCAGCUCAAAAUGGGUGGUAAAUUCCAUCUAAAGCUAAAUAUUGGCGUGAGACCGAUAGCGAACAAGUACCGUGAGGGAAAGAUGAAAAGAACUUUGGAAAGAGAGUUAAACAGUACGUGAAAUUGUCAAUAGGGAAACGCUUGAAGUCAGUCGCGUUGCUCGGGGAUCAGCCUUCCUUUUGGUUGGUGUACUUCCUGAAUAACGGGUCAGCAUCAGUUUUGACUGCUGGAGAAAGGCUUGGGGAAUGUGGCUCUUUCGGGAGUGUUAUAGCCCUUUGUCAUAUACAGUGGUUGGGACUGAGGAACUCAGUACGCCG
RNAcentral lists this ribosomal RNA (805 nucleotides) under Flagelloscypha sp. 216a. RNAcentral's name for it is "eukaryotic LSU rRNA". The stretch from base 201 to 805 matches the Rfam family "Eukaryotic large subunit ribosomal RNA", at positions 1 to 605 of the family's 3401-position model. The record is from RNAcentral. Lineage: Eukaryota; Fungi; Basidiomycota; Agaricomycetes; Agaricales; Niaceae.